RNAcentral lists this ribosomal RNA (99 nucleotides) under Oreochromis mossambicus x Oreochromis urolepis hornorum. Lineage: Eukaryota; Metazoa; Chordata; Actinopteri; Cichliformes; Cichlidae. The record is from RNAcentral.
AAUACGCCCGAUCUCGUCCGAUCUCGGAAGCUAAGCAGGGUCGUGCCUGGUCAGUACUUGGAUGGGAGACCGCCUGGGAAUACCAGGUGCUGUAAGCUU